GGGCCCGCACAAGCGGCGGAGCAUGCGGAUUAAUUCGAUGCAACGCGAAGAACCUUACCAAGGCUUGACAUAUAGAGGAAAAGUGUAGAAAUACACUCCCCGCAAGGUCUCUAUACAGGUGGUGCAUGGUUGUCGUCAGCUCGUGUCGUGAGAUGUUGGGUUAAGUCCCGCAACGAGCGCAACCCUCGUCCUAUGUUGCCAGCACGUAAUGGUGGGAACUCAUGGGAUACUGCCGGGGUCAACUCGGAGGAAGGUGGGGAUGACGUCAAAUCAUCAUGCCCCUUAUGUCUUGGGCUUCACGCAUGCUACAAUGGCCGGUACAGAGGGCAGCGAAGUCGCGAGGCUAAGCAAA
This 352-nucleotide ribosomal RNA is filed under the name uncultured bacterium. Its description in RNAcentral is "bacterial SSU rRNA". It matches the Rfam family "Bacterial small subunit ribosomal RNA", at positions 917 to 1271 of the family's 1533-position model. The record is from RNAcentral.